GGCUCCUUCGGGAGUACACGAGCGGCGUAAGGGAGAGUUACGCGUGGUUUACCUGCCCUAGGGUCCAGAAUAGCUUCGGGAAACUGAAGGUAAUGCUGGAUAAUAUCUCCGGAUCAAAGGUGAGAUUCCGCCCUAGGAGGGGACCGCGUUCUAUUAGCUUGUUGGUGGGGUAAAGGCCUACCAAGGCUUUGAUGGAUACCGGGUGUGAGAGCAUGGCCCGGCUCACUGGGACUGAGACACUGCCCAGACACCUACGGGUGGCUGCAGUCGAGAAUCUUCGGCAAUGGGCGAAAGCCUGACCGAGCGACGCCGCGUGUGGGAUGAAGGCCUUCGGGUUGUAAACCACUGUCAGUUGGGAGGAAAUCUAUGGGGGCUAUCCCCCAUAGUUGACCUAUCUUCAGAGGAAGGACGGGCUAAGUUCGUGCCAGCAGCCGCGGUAAUACGAACCGUCCAAACGUUAUUCGGAAUCAUUGGGCUUAAAGGGUGCGUAGGCGGCGUGGUCAGUUGGGUGUGAAAUCCCUCGGCUCAACCGAGGAACUGCGCCCAAUACUGCCACACUCGAGGGAGACAGAGGUAAGCGGAACUGAUGGUGGAGCGGUGAAAUGCGUUGAUAUCAUCA
RNAcentral lists this ribosomal RNA (619 nucleotides) under uncultured bacterium. Its description in RNAcentral is "bacterial SSU rRNA". It matches the Rfam family "Bacterial small subunit ribosomal RNA", at positions 73 to 702 of the family's 1533-position model. The record is from RNAcentral.